GACGAACGCUGGCGGCGUGCUUAACACAUGCAAGUCGAACGGAAAGGCCCUGCUUUUUUGGGGUGCUCGAGUGGCGAACUGGUGAGUAACACUUGUGUAACCUGCCCUUUACUUUGGGAUAACUUCAGGAAACUUGGGCUAAUACCGUAUAUGAUCUCCUGCUGCAUGUUGUGGGUUGGAAAUUUUCGGCGGUUGGGGAUGUACUCGCUGCUUAUCAGCUUUUUGGUGGGGUAGUGGCUUACCAAGGCUUUACCGGGUAGCCGGCCUGAGCGGGUGACCGGCCAAAUUGGGACUGAGAUACGGCCCAGAAUGCUACGGGAGGCAGCAGUGGGGAAUAUUGCACAAUGGGCGGAAGCCUGAUGCAGCAACGCCGCGUGCGGGAUGACGGCAUUCGGGUUGUAAACCGCUUUAGCCUGUGACGAAGAGUGAGUGACGGUAAUGGGUAAAGAAGCACCGGCUAACUACGUG
RNAcentral lists this ribosomal RNA (468 nucleotides) under uncultured bacterium. RNAcentral describes it as "partial 16S ribosomal RNA". It matches the Rfam family "Bacterial small subunit ribosomal RNA", at positions 28 to 507 of the family's 1533-position model. The record is from RNAcentral.